CAACAAAACUAGUGGCUUGCGGACGGAUUUUGAUCUGGACAUCAUCAGCCUGAAAGAGGAUGGCCUGGAGAAGGUUGGGGUGUGGAGUCCUGCCGACGGGCUCAACAUCACUGAGAUUGCCAAAGGCCGAGGCCCUAAUGUCACUGACUCUCUGACAAACAGAUCACUCAUUGUCACCACAGUGCUGGUAAGAGCCUGCAGCCCCUGCAGGAAGGACUGUCCGACCUGGGGGUGGGGUGGCCGUUUGGGGUGGAGAGUCCCCUCUAUCCCCUCCACCCAGAAGAUGGAGGCUGCAGGUAGGUGGAGACUUUUAGAGUCAGCAGGAAGCUCUCAGAGAGCAGCUGGAGCGCAGCAGCGCUGCUCGCUGCCACGGGCGGAAGCCGCUGCGUUUUUGUGUCUCACUCCCACUCACUCCCCAAGUCCUUGAUGUCUGAGUAGGAACCAUGCUGGAUGGUGGAAUUAAGGGGGUUUGACUGCCCAUUGCAACCUGAGUGAGGAUCCGCCUCUCCCACCCCAGUUCCCAGGCAAAAGCCUUUCCCACAAGUCACCC
This 550-nucleotide small RNA is filed under the name Pan troglodytes (chimpanzee). RNAcentral describes it as "processed transcript". Lineage: Eukaryota; Metazoa; Chordata; Mammalia; Primates; Hominidae. The record is from RNAcentral.